Molecule: small RNA, 559 nt
Filed under: Drosophila pseudoobscura pseudoobscura
Lineage: Eukaryota; Metazoa; Arthropoda; Insecta; Diptera; Drosophilidae
Description: GA32784
Source: RNAcentral
UUUGCAGAGAAUCGUAUAAGCUCAAUAUUGUUGCUAGAGAUUGUUUUGGUCAUUCUAAACACAAAAAGCUGGAGACCAUUUGAUAAACUCUACCUAACUUGUCUGGGGCAGCAGGCAGCACUACUACUACUCCACUCUACUACUACUCUCACUCACAAAAGACAGACCAGAUUGAAAGAAAGUCAGAGUCUCUCUAAAAAAGAAAGCCCAAGCCAAGCCAAACAAAAUAUAUAAGAACACAAAAAGAACAAAACUGAAUCCGUGAAAAAACGAUGUCUUCUCUGUUGAGAACCAAAUCAACCAGUACCAAAGUCCACCUCCACUACUCCACUAGCCAGCGCUAAAACAAAAGAAAAACCAAAGCAAAAAACUGAAUAAAAAAAAACAAAACAAUUCCCCAAAAACCAAACCGUGAAAGGGAAUCGAGAGCAUGAGAUGAGAAAUGAUGUGGAGACAACAUUUCUCGCGCGUCGUCGUGUGAAACCAUCUUCUGAUCUGUAUACACAAAAAUUUAACUAAUUUACUUUGAUUUGCUUUCUCUUAUUCAAAAAAAAAAAAA